UUCCACAAUUUGACAUUCUAAAUCAGCUUGAAUCACUCAACAUCUCUGGUAGGGCCCUUAAUCAGGGAGAAUUGAGCUUCCCCCUGAAUUUAAAAAAAUUGACUUUGUCUAGGCUUCGCCUGCCAUGGAAACAUAUGUCUGCUAUUGGGAGACUACAAAACCUUGAGGUUCUCAAAUUACUUUCUAAUGCCUUUGAGGGCCGGAUAUGGGACAUGAGGGAAGGGGAGUUCCUAAAGUUGAAAUUCUUGAAGUUAGAUUCUCUGAAUGUUGUUGAGUGGAAUGCCACUUGCGAUCACCUUCCCAACCUUCAGCAAUUAGUUUUGCGACACUGCAAAGAACUUGAGGCAGUUCCAUUCUCUUUUGGGGAAAUUCCUACCUUGCUGAUGAUUCAAGUGCAACGUUGUGGCCUUUCCACAGAAGAGUCAGUCAGGGACAUUGAGGAGCAAGGGAUUGAAGGCCUCAAGAUCUUCAUCAGUCAUUAAGAUUUGUAUUUCAGAUGGAAAUAGAAGACUUUUUCUUUGAGGAGUUGAACAUAAUGGAAGAGUUUGAGAUAUCUUAAAACGUCAAAAAGGAAGGAAUUUGACAGCUUCUUAGCGGGAAAUUCUGCAGAAAGAAGUUGCAGCUUUAGAUAAGUUGUCUGGGCUUAUUGUGGAGGUUCAAUACCAAGCAGACGUAUCAAACACAAUUUUGUGUGGAAUAAGAUGCUUUAUG
Molecule: long non-coding RNA, 711 nt
Organism: Coffea eugenioides
Lineage: Eukaryota; Viridiplantae; Streptophyta; Magnoliopsida; Gentianales; Rubiaceae
Exons: 3
Source: RefSeq, a predicted model, not a curated record